AUUGAACGCUGGCGGCAGGCCUAACACAUGCAAGUCGAACGAGUGGCGGACGGGUGAGUAAUGUCCGGGAAACUGCCUGAUGGAGGGGGAUAACUACUGGAAACGGUAGCUAAUACCGCCUACCAUCGGCUGUGCCCAGAUGGGAUUAGCUAGUAGGUGGGGUAAAGGCUCACCUAGGCGACGAUCCCUAGCUGGUCUGAGAGGAUGACGCGCCAAACUGGAACUGAGACACGGUCCAGCCUCCUACGGGGAGCAGCUGUGGGGAAUAUUGCACAAUGGGCGCAAACCUAAUGCAGCCAUACCGCGUGUAUGAGGAAGGCCGUAGGGGUGGAAAGUAAUUUCAGCGGGGAGGCGUUACCCGCAGAAGGAGCACCGGCUAACACCGUGCCAGCAGCCGCGGUAAUAC
This 406-nucleotide ribosomal RNA is filed under the name uncultured bacterium. Its description in RNAcentral is "partial 16S ribosomal RNA". It matches the Rfam family "Bacterial small subunit ribosomal RNA", at positions 29 to 526 of the family's 1533-position model. The record is from RNAcentral.